UUUAUCUCAGAAAACAGUGUUUAUAUUUGGCUUGCGAUUAUAGAAAUACUUAAUUUUCUAACAAGGCAGGAGAAACGAUGGAUGUGCUCGGCUUGACAAAUUAUGCCACGACUUUGGCACUCGUAGCUGUGCUUAUUUUUACUUUUUACCUGUGAGUAUUGCAUUUACUUUCAAACUAAAAGAGAAUGACACCACAGACACGACAGAAUAUAUAUAUACAUGUAUGCAUGUAUACAUGUAAUUACUUUGGGACUAAUGUGUAUGUCUAUUAAUGUGUUGAUAUGUGGAGCAAAGCACGAGCAGAGUUUGGGCCACCUGGUUGUCAUCCGCUAAUGAAGCGGGUAAAUACCAAUAUGACUGCCUAAACUCAAUAUCUUUAGCGAGACACCAUGUAUCUGACGUGACCCUCACUGCAGAAAUUGACGCACGCAAUAGGAUGCAAAACAUUCCACACAAAUGGCAGCUGCAGGAUGAGUGGAAACGAUUGUGGUACGGAAUAGACUGAUACCAAAUCCAAAUUGUUUUCUUAAUUGAUUAUAUAUAUAUAUAUAUAUAUAUAUAUAUAUAUAUAUAUAUAUAUAUAUAUAUAUAUAUAUAUAUAUACAUAUAUAUAUACACACAUAUAAAGUACCAGUUUCGCACUGGGGUCGAUGUAAUCGACUUAAUCCCUUUGUCUGUCCUUGUUUGUCCCUUCUAUGUUUAGCCCCUUGUGGGCAAUAAAGAAAUAUAUAUAUAUAUGUGUGUGUGUGUGUUUAUGUAUGUAUAUAUAUAUAUAUAUAUAUAUAUACAUAUAUGUGUGUGUAUUUUUGUAUGUGUGUGUGUGUGCUUGUGUGUCUUAGUAUUGUUUUACAUGUAUGUAUACUUAUAUCAAAAUAUAUAAUAUUAUUGAUUCAUUAGAAUUGAUCUUAUUGGUUUAUGAGGAGAUAUUCAAUAAUCGGAUAGGAUAUUCGAUUAUCUUAUAAUUAUGCCCGUGAGAUGUGGCAGGAAAUGCUACAUGUGUGUUUAAAGAGACAAUAUUUUUUUUACAAUUGUGCUAAAAUGUAUAACGCAUUACCAAAACUGUUGUGCUCGGUGAACGAUUCAACACUCCUCCCCUUUACUCUAAAUGGUUUGAAAAGAACGAUCAUAUCUCCAUAUAUGAUAGACCGCAUUCAAUAUUUCGAUACUAACAUACAAAGAAAGAAGAAAUUAUGUUUUCCCACUUGUUUACACAAGUUGAUUGUCAACAUAACACAAAUCAUUGACCGGUUGUGCAAUCUUGUUCAUAAUACCAAAGUAGCGUGCCAUUUAGAUAACAACAUAGCGCAGUCAUUUUGUGUUAGAGUGACGACCAGCUUAUAGCAAUUCGUUCAUAAAGUUUAAGAUUAACUCUAAAAUUUUCUGUCUUUCUGAUAUGUAUAUAUAUAUAUAUAUACAUACACAAAUAUAAUAGUGUGCAAACAAUGAAACAUUUAUACUCGAAAGAGGUGACCUUUGACAGGAGAGCUUACAUGCUAGAAAGAGCAGUCACUAUUAUAUAUGAGAAUAUGUUGUCUAUUAACUGUAUUACGCAUGCUAGCAACCAGUUUGUAAUCUUUUAAUUUUCUACCCGAUUAUUAUUAACUGCAUAUAUAUAUAUAUAUAUGUACUAAACCUUCAAGGUGGUAUCUAUAUUAUAAUUAUAUUUAUAUAUAUAUAUAUAUAUAACGUUGUUAGGUUUCGGCCAGUAUAGAUAUGUAUAAUUUUUAUUAAUAUUAUAUGUAUGUAUAUAUAUAUAUAUAUAUAUAUAUAUACAUACAUAUAUAUAUACACAUACACAAAUGUAUAUAUAUGUAUCUACAUAUAUGUAUAUAUAUGUAUAUAUAUAUGCAUGUAUAUAUAUAUAUGUAUAUAUAUAAAUAUAUGUAUAUAUAUAUAUAUACUUUCUUGGUUCGGUGCCGUCCGUGCAACAUCUAUAUUCCUUCCUGUGCUUGUGAAAUCUUGUAUCCCUGCUGUAAGGCUGUAUUUCCACACACACCAGCUUAAUUUAAUUCGUCCUUAGUCGAAAGACACCUAUUGUUAUAUCAUGUUAUCUGUUUUUGUGUAAUAUUCUCCGCUUUUCCCGUCCUUGUUUUCGUAUACAUUCGCUGCUUUCUUCCAAGGAAUCUAACGCUCUUAGCUUAGAUUUUCUUUGGGGCUGGCCAGAUGGGAGCAAUCUCGAGUAUAACUUGGUUGUAAAUUUGUGAAGUGUCUUGUUUUAACCAUCAACCCCUAAAUUUUAAGAAACCCUUGCAGAUUCCCAUACAUGUGGUCAAUAAAAACGUCAUUAUUAAUGUAUUUCAUUUAUUUUUCUUCGUUAGGUUUGGAAGAAGAAACUUUUCAUUUUUCAAAAAUCUCGGGAUCUCUGGUCCCGAACCUAUUUCUCAUUUAGGAAACAUGAUGGAAAUGAGGAAACUGGUAAAUUCAUUUUACAUUUUUUCUUGUUUAAGUUUUUCUUGCUACAGACUUGAGUGGAAUAACUCUGGCCUUUCGGCAUGAAGUCUCUCCUUAAACUCCCUUAAAACCUUCAUAACGUACUCUUUGUUGGUCAUCUGGUCAAAAAGACCCUAAUGAGUGUGAAUGAUGCCCUUGCUGUCAAAAAAGAAAUCACCAAGUGCUUCCUGGCAGACUUGAUUUACACAGACUUGCAGGGUCUGAGUGUGCCAAGAUGCUUCCACUGGGCACUCUGUAUCUUGGCCUCUGGAUCAUAACAGUAAACCCAGCUUUAGUCACAGGUCAUCCUUCUGUAUAUCACUAAGCACCCUGAGAACAAAACUUUGCACUAAUUUUGUGCAUGUUCAGAUCUUCCUGAAUAAUUCUGUGUAUAUUUGCCUCACCAAUUCCAAACUGUAUGUUUAUUGUCUUAAUAGAGAUCUGAUUGUCUUCUCUCAAAAAAUUGUGAACUUUCUCAACAAGCUCUGAUAUUGUGACAUCCUUCUCCCUCCCAUAUUCCUCAUUGUCUCUCAGUGAAAAACAGAGACUUGGCUCAUACAACUUAAUCCAUCAGGAGAUUGGGGCAAUUCAUAAGUGUACUGUUGUUCCCAAGUUUAACACAAGCCUUUAUUGCACAACAAGCUCCCAGAUCUCCUGACUGCAUUCUGAUCAGCUGUGACAUGCAGUGUUUAGUAGUUUGUAUUCAAAGUGUUGUACAAAUGUCUCCUUUAACAUAGAAUAUAAAAUAGUUGGCAGGUCAGCUUAUUAGAUAUAUAGUACUGAUAUACUAAAAUCAAAGUAAUCGAGGGCAGACAGAAUUGCCUCCCUUGAAAAAUAUCUCAAACCUUCUGGAAACGUAACCUUGUAAAGUAUUCGAGAUGUGAAUGAAAUUGUGGUAGAAUACAAGAGAAUACAAGAAAACUCUAUUUCUUAACCUCUCAGGGUCAAUAAAGUAUAUUACUAAUCCUGCAUUUAAUAGUCAUUUAGAAUGUCAUAAAUAUAAAUGAGAUUAUAAAAGAAAAAGUGAAGCAAAAUUCUCUUUAAAAAGAGAAAGGCACAUUGUACAGUGGAGUCCAAGAUACACCAUGUCUAAAAAAUAGUUUAGUAUGUUUGAUAGCACAUGAGACAAACCAGUUUUCUUUGCCAUGUCAAAAAAUAUGAAAAGUCAUACUUGAUUAUAUAAUAGUAAAGUUUCGUUUAUACUUUUAUACUUUCAGGGUUUCACUAAAG
Molecule: long non-coding RNA, 3660 nt
Filed under: Octopus vulgaris (common octopus)
Lineage: Eukaryota; Metazoa; Mollusca; Cephalopoda; Octopoda; Octopodidae
Source: RNAcentral